GACGAACGCUGGCGGCGUGCUUAACACAUGCAAGUCGAACGGAAAGGCCCUGCUUUUGUGGGUUGCUCGAGUGGCGAACGGGUGAGUAACACGUGAGUAACCUGCCCUUGACUUUGGGAUAACUUUAGGAAACUGGGGAUAAUACCGGAUAGGAGCUCCUGCUGCAUGGUGGGGGUUGGAAAGUUUCGGCGGUUGGGGAUAGACUCGCGGCUUAUCAGCUUGUUGGUGGGGUAGUGGCUUACAAAGGCUUUGAAGGGUAGCCGGCCUGAGAGGGUGACCGGCCACAUUGGGACUGAGAUACGGCCCAGACUCCUACGGGAGGCAGCAGGGGGGAAUAUUGCACAAUGGGGGGAAGCCUGAUGCAGCAACGCCGCGUGCGGGAUGACGGCCUUCGGGUUGUAAACCGCUGUCGCCUGUGACGAGGCGUGAGUGACGGUAAUGGGUAAAGAAGCACCGGCUAACUACGUG
RNAcentral lists this ribosomal RNA (468 nucleotides) under uncultured bacterium. RNAcentral describes it as "partial 16S ribosomal RNA". It matches the Rfam family "Bacterial small subunit ribosomal RNA", at positions 28 to 507 of the family's 1533-position model. The record is from RNAcentral.